ACUCAAAUGAAUAGACGGGGAGGCGCACAAGCAGUGGAGCGUGUGGUUUAAUUCGAUACGAAGCGAAAAACCUCACCAGGGUUUGACAUGCAAUUGCUAAGCCUAUGAAAGUAGGCCUCCUUCGAGGGUAUUGCACAGAUGCUGCAUGGCUGUCGUCAGCUCGUGGCGUGAGCUGUACCGUUAAGUCGGAAAACGAGCGCAACCCGCAUCUUGUGUUAAAUAUUUCACGAGAAACUGCCCCCGCUAAGCGGGGGAGGAAGGCGCGGAUGACGUCAAGUCAGCACGGCUCUUACACCCUGGGCUACACACACCCUACAAUGGCGAAAAACAACGAGUUGCAAACUGGUAACAGUAAGCUAAUCUCUGAAAUUUCGCCCCAGUUCAGAUUGAGGUCUGAAACCUGACCUCAUGAAGUCGGAAUUGCUAGUAAUCGCGAAUCAGCAGGUCGCGGUGAAUACGUUCUCGCCUCUUGCACACACCGCCCGU
RNAcentral lists this ribosomal RNA (486 nucleotides) under uncultured bacterium. RNAcentral describes it as "partial 16S ribosomal RNA". It matches the Rfam family "Bacterial small subunit ribosomal RNA", at positions 899 to 1397 of the family's 1533-position model. The record is from RNAcentral.